Molecule: ribosomal RNA, 1010 nt
Filed under: uncultured bacterium
Lineage: Bacteria
Description: bacterial SSU rRNA
Rfam family: Bacterial small subunit ribosomal RNA
Source: RNAcentral
UGGGGAAUAUUGCACAAUGGGCGCAAGCCUGAUGCAGCGACGCCGCGUGAGGGAUGGAGGCCUUCGGGUUGUAAACCUCUUUUAUCGGGGAGCAAGCGAGAGUGAGUUUACCCGUUGAAUAAGCACCGGCUAACUACGUGCCAGCAGCCGCGGUAAUACGUAGGGUGCAAGCGUUAUCCGGAAUUAUUGGGCGUAAAGGGCUCGUAGGCGGUUCGUCGCGUCCGGUGUGAAAGUCCAUCGCUUAACGGUGGAUCUGCGCCGGGUACGGGCGGGCUGGAGUGCGGUAGGGGAGACUGGAAUUCCCGGUGUAACGGUGGAAUGUGUAGAUAUCGGGAAGAACACCAAUGGCGAAGGCAGGUCUCUGGGCCGUUACUGACGCUGAGGAGCGAAAGCGUGGGGAGCGAACAGGAUUAGAUACCCUGGUAGUCCACGCCGUAAACGGUGGAUGCUGGAUGUGGGGCCCGUUCCACGGGUUCCGUGUCGGAGCUAACGCGUUAAGCAUCCCGCCUGGGGAGUACGGCCGCAAGGCUAAAACUCAAAGAAAUUGACGGGGGCCCGCACAAGCGGCGGAGCAUGCGGAUUAAUUCGAUGCAACGCGAAGAACCUUACCUGGGCUUGACAUGUUCCCGACAGCCGUAGAGAUGCGGCCUCCCUUCGGGGCGGGUUCACAGGUGGUGCAUGGUCGUCGUCAGCUCGUGUCGUGAGAUGUUGGGUUAAGUCCCGCAACGAGCGCAACCCUCGCCCUGUGUUGCCAGCACGUCAUGGUGGGAACUCACGGGGGACCGCCGGGGUCAACUCGGAGGAAGGUGGGGAUGACGUCAGAUCAUCAUGCCCCUUACGUCCAGGGCUUCACGCAUGCUACAAUGGCCGGUACAACGGGAUGCGACAUGGCGACAUGGAGCGGAUCCCUGAAAACCGGUCUCAGUUCGGAUUGGAGUCUGCAACCCGACUCCAUGAAGGCGGAGUCGCUAGUAAUCGCGGAUCAGCAACGCCGCGGUGAAUGCGUUCCC